GAUGAAUAACGUAGCGAAAUGCGAUAAGUAAUGUGAAUUGCAGAAUUCAGUGAAUCAUCGAAUCUUUGAACGCACAUUGCGCCCCUUGGUAUUCCGAGGGGCAUGCCUGUUCGAGCGUCAUUAUAACCCUCAAGCUCAGCUUGGUGUUGGGGCCUGCUGCACUGGCAGCCCUUAAAAUCAGUGGCGGCGCCAUCUGGCUCUAAGCGUAGUAAUUCUUCUCGCUAUGGAGUCCUGGUGGAUGCUUGCCAUCAACCCCCAAUUUUUCUAUGGUUGACCUCGGAUCAGGUAGGGAUACCCGCUGAACUUAAGCAUACAAUAAGCGGAGGA
Molecule: unclassified non-coding RNA, 327 nt
Filed under: soil metagenome
Description: partial contains 5.8S ribosomal RNA, internal transcribed spacer 2, and large subunit ribosomal RNA
Rfam family: 5.8S ribosomal RNA (bases 1-120)
Source: RNAcentral